GUCAACCUACCUCUGUGUGGGGGAUAACUAGCCGAAAGGUUAGCUAAUACCGCAUACGAUCGUUUUGGGGCAUCUCGAGACGAUGAAAGGAGCAAUCCGCACGGAGAGGGGACUGCGUCCCAUUACUUAGUUGGUGGGGUAACGGCCUACCAAGACUCCGAUGGGUAGCUGGCUUGAGAGAGCGACCAGCCACACUGGAACUGA
Molecule: ribosomal RNA, 204 nt
Filed under: uncultured bacterium
Lineage: Bacteria
Description: partial 16S ribosomal RNA
Rfam family: Bacterial small subunit ribosomal RNA
Source: RNAcentral